Molecule: long non-coding RNA, 832 nt
Organism: Gambusia affinis (western mosquitofish)
Lineage: Eukaryota; Metazoa; Chordata; Actinopteri; Cyprinodontiformes; Poeciliidae
Exons: 8
Source: RefSeq, a predicted model, not a curated record
GUUAGCAUACGUCAGACUGGGUGACGGACUGGCAGUUAGUGACAGAAAGUUUGGCUUUACGCUUUGUUUUACUUACUUUUUAAGGAAGGCUGACAAUGCCUUUACAAACUCCUGCUGGUUGACAUCUUUCACCGUCACGCUGGGCAUCUAGAAAAAGAAAAUGGAGACAAAAAUUCGAGAGCUCUUUUGAGGACUGCGGUACAGACGGCAACAGAGGAGAAGUCGUCUGAGUGAGGAAGACAACACAAGAGGGUUGAAUUUAAGAUGACGUGGACUCUUGGCAUGCUUUAUAUAAGAUUGAAUUUAAGAUGACUUGGACUCUUGGACAUAUUUUAUACAAGUGAGGUCUGCCAUAGCAGCAGAGUGGAGGAGUUAGCUUUGGUUCCUCAUUGGUUGGCAGCAGGGGCGACAGACAGACCCUCAGAAAUGCUUUGACCAAUGAUAGACGCCUUCCCAGUGAGUGAGAAGAGAGGUAAAAGUUGCUUCCUGCUUUAAAGGAUGGGAUCCGGUCCAGGUUCUGCAGAGCGUCUAUGACAAACGGCACCCCAGCUUCUGUGACAUUCUUCCUGCUGACCCUGACAUUACCUCAUUCUCCUCCCCCUUUUCCAGCCACCAUGUGCAACAUAAUCUGUCUGCCUCUUGUUGUUUGCCGUCUUUUUCUGGCCUUCUCGUCUCGGCCGACAUGAUUCCUCGAUGAAGACAGGAAGGACAAGCGUGGGAUAAGCUCAGCUAAAAUUACAAACUGCGUGAAGAGAGAUUCAGAUUGUGGAAGUUUAUGACAGCUUGCUGAAUUCAUCCUGUCAUUUUAGAUGAAUAAAGUGUCUAAACAAGC